UACGUAGGGGGCGAGCGUUGUCCGGAAUUACUGGGUGUAAAGGGUGCGUAGGCGGUCUGGCAAGUCAGAUGUGAAAUGCCGGGGCUCAACCCCGGAGCUGCAUUUGAAACUGAUGGACUGGAGUACAGGAGAUGCAGGCGGAAUUCCUAGUGUAGCGGUGAAAUGCGUAGAUAUUAGGAAGAACACCAGUGGCGAAGGCGGCCUGCUGGACUGUUACUGACGCUGAGGCACGAAAGCGUGGGGAGCAAACAGG
This 253-nucleotide ribosomal RNA is filed under the name uncultured Eubacteriales bacterium. RNAcentral describes it as "uncultured Clostridiales bacterium partial 16S ribosomal RNA". It matches the Rfam family "Bacterial small subunit ribosomal RNA", at positions 524 to 776 of the family's 1533-position model. Lineage: Bacteria; Bacillati; Bacillota; Clostridia; Eubacteriales. The record is from RNAcentral.